AUACGGGGGGAGCAAGCGUUGUUCGGAAUUACUGGGCGUAAAGCGCACGUAGGCGGUUUAUCAAGUUAGGCGUGAAAGCCCUGGGCUCAACCCAGGAACUGCGUUUAAUACUGAUAAGCUAGAGACCGGGAGAGGGUGGCGGAAUUCCCAGUGUAGAGGUGAAAUUCGUAGAUAUUGGGAAGAACACCGGUUGCGAAGGCGGCCACCUGGACCGGAACUGACGCUGAGGUGCGAAAGCGUGGGGAGCAAACAGGAUUAGAAACCCCAGUAGUCC
This 274-nucleotide ribosomal RNA is filed under the name uncultured bacterium. RNAcentral describes it as "partial 16S ribosomal RNA". It matches the Rfam family "Bacterial small subunit ribosomal RNA", at positions 523 to 796 of the family's 1533-position model. The record is from RNAcentral.